This is a long non-coding RNA of Daphnia magna, 500 nucleotides long. RefSeq lists it as uncharacterized. The transcript is spliced from 2 exons. Lineage: Eukaryota; Metazoa; Arthropoda; Branchiopoda; Diplostraca; Daphniidae. The record is from RefSeq and is a predicted model, not a curated record.
CAGCAGCAAAUUGACUGAACGACUCAGCUCAUCGGCUACGCGGAACCGACUUGUCCUGCAACUUUCGGGCGAACAAGGCGUCGAGCGCGUCACUUCGGCCCAUCCUUCUCUCAACGUAUUCGGGAUCGUUUUUUUCUUUCUUUCUCUGCAGUAGGUGGAAGGCACAGGCGGAUGAAUAGAUGAAGAAAAGAAAAACUAAAAAAAAACUUGGGUUUCCUGUGCGCUGAUGGAUGAACCGAACAAGCAGACGUCUACGUUCCAGAUCGGACGAAAAAAAUAAAUAAAUAAAUCAACGAGAAAUAAAAAAUUGGUGGUGAACGUACAGCCGAUUGGCGUUCAAUAAAGAGAGUAAGAGGAACGAGGCUAUGAGCGAUGGAAAUUGGCCGUAACGAGGAAACAACAACGAAAAGAUUAAGAAAAAGAGAAGUCAUUCGGCCAUUUUGUUGUGUGUGUGUGUAUCGAUGCCGUCAUGCCGAAUAAUAAAUUACCGGUAAAUGAAA